AAAAGUAUUGAUUAAGAUACAGAACCCGACUGAGCAACAAGUGAUUACAAGUGUGUCCUGCAGUGUAUAUUUCUACUUCAGUUUAUCCCAGAGAUGUUUUCCUUUUUGCAUUUUAUUUCUUUUUCCAGUUUCUUUGAGAUUGUCACUUGUUCUCACAUAUAUUUACUCUGUGCAGUUGCAGAAGAUAGAGUUGGUUGAAGAACAUGCAUAAUUGCAUAUGCUGUUUCAGAACUUGUAGCAUUUAAUUCUGGUCCAUAUACCCUUUACUUGCAAGCAUGAGGACCUAUCACCAAAUGGCGGCAGUUAUUUUCCUCGUCCAUUGAACAGUAUCAGUAAGUACCAUUUUCUUUUGAUCUUCCUCUAGAUACUUUAUACAGUAGCUCACAACUUUCUUGGACAUGAGUUUUUCAAACCAUGGUAUUGUUGUACAAUUUCGAUGAAAUUCCUCUCUACAGGUAACAUUUCUACAUAUUAAUUUACAACGUUUAUUUUGACAAAGUGACUACAUUUGCUAUCUCACAUGUUCAUGGAAUUCUUCAGCAAAUUUGAUACUGCGGCUUGUCGUUUUCGUGGGCAGGGGUGCAUGCAACUUGCUAAUCACAACUGUCUUGGACAUGACUUUUUCAAACCAUGGUAUUGUUGUACAAUAUCGAUGAAAUUCCUCUCUACAGGUAACAUUUCUACAUAUUAAUGUACUACGUUCAUUUUUACAAAGUGACCAUAUUUGCUAUCUCACAUGUUCUGUGGGCGGGAGUGCAUGCAACUGCUAAUCAAAUAAAGCGAUGGGUUUUCAUGACAGAAUGCUCUGUACAUGAAUCACAUUCCAAAAGACCAUCUAAUGUUUUACUUGUAAUUAGGUUUUGGGCACAAACUGCUGGUCAUGAUUUAUAUCUACCAAUCAGCCAUAACCUUGUUGUAUCGAUGGUGAGUUAACGACGGCAGCACUCUUCUACACAUUAUUUCUUUGCAAGCAAUAUUGGCUGUCGUAUUAUACAUGUUUAUAACAUAAUAUUUCUAGCAGCAUACUUUCUGCAAAUUAAUAUAACGUUUCAAAAAGUAGAAGGUACUUUAUUGUCCUCGUAUGGAUAAGAAAAACCCAUUUCUCAUAUUAAAUAAGCAAACUCAUACCAAGAAUUUUGUAUGAUCAACUAUUUAACUGUAUACUAAUUGCAUCCCCAGUCCUGCUUAAGCUAUAAAGUGUAUUCCGGCCUAAUUUAUUUACAAGAAAAAGUUAAAUAGAUCGGUUAUGACUCGUCACCAGGUUUGGUUCCACUUAAUAAGACAAUGUGACUCAAUUUGUGAGGACUGAUGGAGCUUUAUUCUUGUCCAACUGUACAUAUGACAUGAUUGGUACCACUUAAUAAUUAAUAUGACAAUAUGACUCAUUAUUGGACGACUGUUAGAGUUACAUUUUGUCAAAUUGUAUAUACAUUGUACGACAUGCACAUUCAAGGUCUGUUAUUAACCUUGCAUAGUUGUGAAUUGUUUUUCAUAUAUUGUGGUGGAUAUUUCUAAAAAUAUUUAAUCUUUUAUCUUAUAUUGGUAUGCUUCCGUGUUUCCGGAAAUUACAUCUGAUACUAUACUUUUUGGGUAUAAUAUAUCUUUCAAUGCAAGAGACUCUAAUUUCAGGGUGAUGGGGAGAAGAUUCAGAUCCUUGAGUAUGGUCAUGGUACGAGGGAGAAUGAUCCUUACCACAUGAAUCCUCCUUGUACUGCUUUUAUUUAUAAUCUCCUUCUACUUUAUAAGCAUAUGGAACUAUUUAAAUAAUAAGUUAUGUUUUCUCAUUUGUUUCAGGACGAGUGUAUGUAAUAUGAGUUUUUUAAAAAACUAAUUACGUAAUUUAAUUUGCACGUUGGUUUCUUUAAUAUCAUUGAGAGAGAAAAUGACUGAAAUGAAUCAUAUUUGGGGGGCAGAAACAACAGAAAAUUUGGACUACUAUUAACUUAUGAACAUAGACAAUACAUUCGCCAAAAACGUGCUACUGUUGCUUCUCAAAAGUGGGCUGAAUUUUCAAGUUUCCGGGUUCUAUGUUCAUUCACUCUGAUACUGAUUUGAAUCUUGUGUUUCAUAGAGACUGUUGAUAAACUCAAGCGGAAAGUCUUUAUCCAUUGUACAGAUUGGGAAAUAAAUUGGACAUACCACCACGUAAGUCUGCGGGUCUUCUAAAUUUCUUCUUUCAAAUCCUCAUUGCAGACACCUUUUAUGCUCUCAUAUUAAGGUUCAGACACACACACACACAGACUAGUGCAGGCUCAUAUACUAUAUAUAUGUAUAUUUAAUGGGAAACAAAUGUUAUAUAUCUUUGCUCACCACCUAGAAAAAGAAUUUGUGGUUUCUAUUGAGAAAUGAUUUUUGAGUGCUUGUGGUAUUUGGUGUAAAUACUAAAGAUGUUAGUCUGGUCCCAACUUCACUCCAGUGAUUAGCCGGCUACCUCUUUUACUUCAUAUAUGUAUUAUUUAAACUCUUUAUUUACAGCUCUCUCCUUUUGCGUCGAAUACUGAUCUAAUACUUUCUGCAAUUAAUCAUUUGCAAGUUGGGGAACAAACAAGGCUUGAAUUAUCCAGAUUUUGGCUCACAUCAAUGCCUCACAUCGUAAAGAAACUUAUACUGCAACAUAUAUGGAGAAGAUCCGCUUAAAGCUUUGGACAGAACUAUAUAGCGAUUUUGAGGUAAUUUAAACUAGCGGGCUUUUGUCUAUUUGCUUAUCUGGUACUAUCUUCAUAUAUCCUGAUUAUGAAAGAUAAUCCUUUUAUUGGCAUUAGAUAAUCAACCAGAAGGCAGCUUUAUUAUUGGAGUCCAGUAUCAGCUGAAUGUGAUGCAUAUUUGGCAAACGAAGCGACAAAAAUGUUAACAGCAAACAAGUUAGUUCUCAAAGAAAUUUCUUGCACCAGUUCUUUUAUGAUUUUAUUAUAUAUAAUUCCUUUUAUUUUUUGAAAGGGGAUCUUAGAAUUGUUUUUCGCCUUUGCUUACAUAAGAGAGAGAAGUAAAUCUUGGAAAUCGAUUAGUGACAAAUGACAAGAAUAUUAGAAGUAAAAGAUGUGGGGAAAAGUAUAUCUCCCAUUGCUGGAGAGUCCUCAUUAUAUAUAUUAAUCAUUAAACAGUAUCUGUAAGUCCCAUUUUCUUUUGACCUACCUAUAGAUCCUUUAUACAGUAGCUCAAAAUUGUCCUGGGCAGGUCCUUUUUCGAACCACGGAAACCUAUAUUGUUGUACAAUUUCGAUGAAGUUCCUCUCAUUUCUCAUAUUAAAUAAGCAAACUCAUACCAAGAAUUUUGUAUGAUCAAUUAUUUAACUGUAUACUAAUUGCAUCCCCAGUCCUGCUUAAGCUAUAAAGUGUAUUCCGGACUAAUUUAUUUACAAGAAAAAAUUAUAUAGAUCGGUACCACUAAUAUGACAAUAUGACUCGUUACCAAGUUUGGUACCACUUAAUAAGACAAUGUGACUCAAUUUUUGAGGACUGAUGGAACUUUAUUCUUGUCCAACUGUACAUAUGACAUGAUUGGAACCACUUAAUAAUUAAUAUGACAAUAUGACUCAUGUUCGAGGACUGUUAGAGCUACAUUUUGUCAAAUUGUAUAUAUAUUGUACAACAUGCACAUUCAAGGUCUGUUCCUAACCUCAUUUGCAUUGUUGUGAAUUGUUUUUCAUAUAUUGUGGUGUGAACUUCUAAAAAUAUUUAAUCUUCUAUCUUAUAUUGGUAUGCUUCCAUGUUUCCGGAAAUUACAUCUGAUACUAUACUUUUUGGGUGUAAUAUAUCUUUCAAUGCAAGAGACUCUAAUUACAGGGUGAUGGGGAGAAGAUUCAGAUCCUUGAGUAUGGUCAUGGUACGAGGGAGAAUGAUCCUUACCACACGAAUCCUCCUUGUACUGCUUUUAUUUAUAAUCUCCUUCUACUUUAUAAGCAUAUGGAACUAUUUAAAUAAUAAGUUAUGUUUUCUCAUUUGUUUUAGGACGAGUGUAUGUAAUAUGAGUUCUUUUAAAAACUAAUUACGUAAUUUAAUUUGCACGUUGGUUUCUUUAAUAUCAUCAUUAAGAGAGAACAUGAACGAAAUGAAUCAUAUUUGGGGGGCAGAAACAACAGAAAAUUUGGACUACUAUUAACUUAUGAACAUAGACAAAACAUUCGCCAAAAAGGUGCUACUGUUGCUUCUCAAAAGUGGGCUGAAGUUUCAAGUUUCCGGGUUCUCUGUUCAUUCACUCUGAUACUGAUUUGAAUCUUGUUGUGUUUCAUAGAUACUGUUCAUAAACUCAAGCGGAAAGUCUUUAUCUAUUGUACAGAUUGGGAAAUAAAUUGGACAUACCACCACGUAAGUCUGCUGAUCUUCUAAAUUUCUUCUUUCAAAUCCUCAUUGCAGACACCUUUUAAGCUCUCAUAUUGAGGUUCAUAUUGAGGUGCUACUGUUGCUUCUCAAAAGUGGGCUGAAGUUUCAAGUUUCCGGUUUCUCUGUUCAUUCACUCUGAUACUGAUUUGAAUCUUGUUGUGUUUCAUAGAUACUGUUCAUAAACUCAAGCGGAAAGUCUUUAUCUAUUGUACAGAUUGGGAAAUAAAUUGGACAUACCACCACGUAAGUCUGCUGAUCUUCUAAAUUUCUUCUUUCAAAUCCUCAUUGCAGACACCUUUUAAGCUUUCAUAUUGAGGUGCUACUGUUGCUUCUCAAAAGUGGGCUGAAGUUUCAAGUUUCCGGUUUCUCUGUUCAUUCACUCUGAUACUGAUUUGAAUCUUGUUGUGUUUCAUAGAUACUGUUGAUAAACUCAAGCAAAAAGUCUUUAUGUACUGUACAGAUUGGGAAAUAAAUUGGACAUACGACCACGUAAGUCUGCUGAUCUUCUAAAUUUCUUCUUUCAAAUCCUCAUUGCAGACACCUUUUAUGCUCUCAUAUUGAGGUUCAUACACACACAUACACACACACUAGUGCAGGCUCUUAUACUAUAUAUAUGUAUAUUUAAUGGGAAACAAAUGUUAUAUAUCUUUGCGCACCACCUAAAAAGAGAUUUUGUGGUUGCUACUUAGAAAUGAUUUUUGAAUGCUUGUGGUAUUUGGUGUAAAUACUAAAGAUGUUAGUCUAGUCCCACUGGUGAAGAAGGUUUUCAUGCAUCCUCUCUCCAUGUUAUUCUAAUUGUACUUCUACAUUUUAUCAAUCUGGCAUAUCAUGAGCAAAGAAUUACAACUAAUGGAGUCGCCAGCUCGAGUUUUUCUGCUGGCGCCAUACAAUUUAGUGGCAUCUUGGCUACUGAGUAUACUAAUUUGAAUGUCAAACCUCAGAAUUCAGGGCUGGAAGAAUAUCUUCGCAAUUGGUAAUAUUACAGAUCGUAAGGUACUUUUGCACUUCUUGUUCAAUUUUAUACCACCUCCGUUCCAACAUACGUUUUGCUUUUCACUUCUUAAAUUAUUUGGACCAAAUAAUUUAAAUGUUCAGUUAAUAAUAUUCAAUACAAUUGUUGUGGAUAUAUAAUCCCUGUCUGUCCACGUGAUUUGUUCAAUGCUUUAAGAGGUUUAACUGCCUCAGUUCUGUAAAGAGUCUAAUCUUGUAUAAUUGCAUUUGUAGUCAACUGAAACAAUAAUCAUAAUGUAGGAAAUGACACAGGGGUGUCUGACACAAAAAACAUUCUCUGCAGUUUGUGGAGAAGAACAUCAAAUAUAUUAAUGUCAGUAGAAAAUGAAGAUAAAAUAUUAAAUUACGAGCCUCCUUCAGAGGCCAUUGCUAUUGUUACAAAAAUAAUAUAAGAAGGAGAUCCACAACGAUCUUCUGUAUGGUACUUUGCAUAUCGUUCGUCCAGACAUAUAUUGAAGCAAUGAUAAAAAAUAACUCUAACUCAAACGCAGUUGAUAAAAGUACAGUUGCAAAGGUGGGAUGGUAAAUGUCUUGUACACUUUUUUUAAUUUACAAUUAUCUAACCAUAAAGCUCAGAGUUAUUUACUUCACAUGUAUGCAGUAAAUGCGAUAAAGGAUGCACCAUAGUCUACAAGCUGGCCUCCGGGGAACUGUUUGUCGGACCAAAACUUAAGCCGCUUCAGGUAAAUUUUUUACCCAUAAUUUAUUUUAGUUUAGUUUUGAAUUCAUAUAUUCCGUACUCCUGUCCGUAUAGUUUAUGCUGUCUGAAGAUCUCAGGAGCAGGACUAUGUGGCUGGGCUAGCCCGGUUUCACCUCUCGAGGUAGUCCCUAAAAGUUCAUAAUAAGAUAGAAGAAUCGAGCUUCUUUAGUAUGGUUUCGUAAAUCCUCCUUUCUUUAUAAUUAUGUGCCAAGCACAGUCAUCUUGGUUUUGCACAUUAAUGGAACUAACAGAAGGCAUUGGGCUGAUCGUUUGGGCUUCUGUAAGCAUUAUUUGAGUUUCACUAUAGCUUUUUUUCUCAAAGUUCUAGCACAUCUAACGAAUUGUGUAUAAUCAGGUAAGAUUGUUUGGGAUUCUGUAAGCAUUAUUUGAGUUUUACAUAUGUUACUCCGACUCGGGUACGGAGUGUCGGACACGACAGAUAUCCGAGUGUCGGACUUGGGAACUAUGAAAAUUGGGGACACGGGGACACUGUCCUAUUUUUGGACACGGGUACGGGGACACAUCGUAAUAUACUAAUAAACAAGUAUGGUAAGUUAGACAUCUUAACAAAAAGUAACAAAUAAACUCAUAUUAAACAUGAUUUUGUAGGGAUUUUGCAAAUCAGGCGUCUUUUUUACUUAAAUCCCACUCUUGCUUCUUUCUUUUUUCUCACAUAUUUCUUUUGAAUUGUAAGUUUUACUCAUAUUUGAUUUUAAAAUUGGUCAAAGUGUCCACAUUUUAGUCAAAGGAUCCGACACGAAAUAAGUGUCGUGUCCGAGUGUCCAAGUGUCAGACAGGCAACCUAAAUAGAAGAGUCGGAGUAGUAAAACUUUUACUACAGCUUUUUUUUUCCCUCAAAGUUCUAGCACAUCUAACGAAUUGUGUAUAAUCAGGUAAGAGAGGAUGUGCUCCGCUAGCAUUUGACUGUAUCAAGAAUGGUGGGGGAGUAGAUUCAGCACAUUUUUUGGAAUACAAACAAUAUACACUGUUCUAUAUUGGCAAUGGUUUAUUACACUGCACAGCACUUUGGUUGAAAUCCCAUUUGAGUAAUAGGAUAUCAAAUAUCUGUCAAAAGGUAAGGGCUCUGCUAUCUAUUAAACUGCAGGUUAAAUGACAGGGAAUAAUACACUGAAAGAUUUGAGAGGUGGGAAGGUAAGAUGCAGAAGUUACAUAACCAAAGGUGAAUUUUAUUUCAUUUAUCUUCCGAACAGAGAAUCAGCCAAGCUAGUUCCUUUACUAACAUAUACAGACCAAUUUGUCUUGUAAUCUUAAUUACUUAAAUUGGGUUAUUUUGGCAUAAUUGCAUCUAAUAACUGUUUGAAUCUUUACUUUAGUUUUUAUUAGAGCUUAAGCAUCUUGAGAAUUUUGAUGGGUCGUUAACUUUUAGCUGGUAUUGUGUUGAUUUUCCUAGUCCAUCUUGACAUUCGUGGUCAUGAAGAUGAAGAUGAAGCUACGUGUUAGUCAUCUGGGAAUCUUUAAUUAUGUUUUCACUCAACCUCUAUCUUAAUGCAGGUGCUUGGAUGUUGCGGAAGGAGUUAUGUCUUACAGAGGGCAGAUUGCAGUUAUACAUAUAAAUAGCGACGGUAGUGAAGAAGGGGCAACAUUUCUAAAGAUUCCCUAACCAUCUGCUGAACCAGAAACUCUGAUGGUUGGGAUGAGUUUAAAGCAACUAAAAUUUUUAACCAUUUAUCGAGGAGUAAUCUUUUAUAUUCGUUACAUGGUAAUAUAAAUGUAGAACUAGUAAAUGAUUAUGAUUGGUAUGAGUAGGAAACAAGCCAGUCAAGCAUGCAUGAAUCUAUUGAAUAAGCUUUAGAAAAUUCUGGUCUAAGUGGAAUAGGGGAUGGAUGUCACCCAAUGAGAUUGAGUGUAAUCUGGUUAAACACUAACAUUGGUCAGGAAAAGUGCUCCCUGUGAAAAGUCUUGAUUAAGAUACAGAACCCGACUGAGCAACAAGUGAUUAAAAGUGUGUCCUGCAGUGUAUAUUUCUACUUCAGUUUAUCCCAGAGAUGUUUUCCUUUUUGCAUUUUAUUUCUUUUUCCAGUUUCUUUGAGUUUGUCACUUGUUCUCACAUAAAUUUACUCUGUGCAGUUGCAGAAGAUAGAGUAGGUUGAAGAACAUGCAUAAUUGCAUAUGCUGUUUCGGAACUUGUAGCAUUUAAUUCUGGUCCAUAUACCCUUUAGUUGCAAGCAUGAGGACCUACCACCAAAUGGCGGCAGUUAUUUUCCUCGGCCAUUGAACGGUAUCAGUAAGUCCCAUUUUCUUUUGAUCUGCCUCUAGAUACUUUAUAGUAGCUGACAACUUUCUUGGACAUGAC
Molecule: long non-coding RNA, 8344 nt
Filed under: Daucus carota (carrot)
Lineage: Eukaryota; Viridiplantae; Streptophyta; Magnoliopsida; Apiales; Apiaceae
Description: long non-coding RNA (DCAR_LNC000642)
Source: RNAcentral